GUAGGCCCCUCUCACUGCCCACACCGCAAACCAGCAUCACCCCCCCCCCUGCCCGCAGCCCUACUCCUAGCCCUGCCCUGCAUCCUCCAGGACAUUCCUUCCCACAAACGUGGCCCUAUUGAAAAGAAACCAUAACUAUACCCACUAAAAAGACCCAAUAAGAAACCAACUAAAAGACCAAAAGCACAACAAACCAACCAAGACUGAAGCUGAAACUACACCGAAGGCCCUUUAACAACCAAUUCACCCACUUAAAGCCCUACAAAAACAAACGCACAGAGCUUCCCAAGCAAUAAACCCCAAAGAACCAAACUACCAAACUAACCAGCCAAAUAUCCCAAAAUGGGGGGAGGGGAAGAAUCACCCAGGGGUGUAGCUAUAACUGAGCGGAUGGGCUCAAAGAACCCGGGCCCCUCGCUCUUGAGGGCCCCGCCAGGUCCACCCCUCCCUGUUUUCUUCAUGAUCUCCUUCACUCCGAGGGGCCACCACCAGGGAGAGGGAGAACACGGGGAACCUCUCCCCAGCGAAUCUGACGCAAGGAGGCAAUCCACAGCAAGGAAGGCAAUCCCACGAGGGGAGAAACGCAAAAAGGCUGGCACAGCAAGGGAAUCGGAGGACACAGCGCUGCUACUGCUGAAAGAGAUUUACCAGACAAAGGGCAUCAAUAUGGACCAGGCUCUCUUAUAAUGGCAAACUGACGAGCUGCACCGGUCUGGUAAGUCGUCUUGUUCCUUGGACAGCCUCUGCUAUUUGAGUGACAUUUUCCAUUUUUGUUGUUCUGGCUCUUGGCUCACCAGUCAGACAAAAUACCAGCAGCUCUGGCCCCAGGAGAGAGAGUCUCGCCCGCCCGCCCGCCCCGGAGGAGAGAGAGAGAGACUGGCUCGGCCGCCCCAAGUAAUUCCUGUUCUCCUGCUGUUAGCACUCUGGCAUUAGCCCUGCAUGCCCCACAGCAGCCCUGCUGCAUAGUUUCUCCCCAGGGCUGCACAACUUCAAAAUCUCCAGGUCUGUGUGGACUACAACUCCCAUGAUCCCCAGCCACAGUGAUCCCCCUAUCACACCCACCUCUAAUGGCCUUCAGGACACGCCCACUUGAGAGCCCAUUAUGGCAGUUGGGACCAACCUUUGUCCUGUGCACGUCCCACCCAGGCAGGCAGUCCCUUCUCGCCAAAGAGGCCCAGGAGGCAGGGUGCCCAGCUGGCAGUCGGGAGGCACACUCCAGGUUGACACGCCAAGUGCAGGGCUGACUCGCCGUGUCAUGGGGUGCCUGGCAAAGCAGCCGUGCCUCCCCCCUGUCCCACAGUCAGCAUUUCCUGUAACGGGUUCUUGGAUGCUCUUGGCCACAGCACUCCUCAUCCCCAGCUGCAUUCGCCACCUCGCCUCACCCACCAGACCUGCAGCCCUAGUUCUGAGCAGUGCCAUUUGGGAUGACCAAGUUCUGGAUGAGAACCUCCGUAGUAGUGGUGGACAUAAGAAGAGGCCGGUCUUGGCUGGUCAGAUCACAAAUGGCUGUUGGAAAUUUAUGCACUUUGUAAAAUAUGUCAAAUUAAAAAUGGUAUUUAAGUUUUUCCAGUAA
Hemicordylus capensis (graceful crag lizard) is the source of this 1573-nucleotide long non-coding RNA. RefSeq lists it as uncharacterized. The record is from RefSeq and is a predicted model, not a curated record. Lineage: Eukaryota; Metazoa; Chordata; Lepidosauria; Squamata; Cordylidae. The transcript is spliced from 3 exons.